UUGUGUUGGACUGGGAUCGCGAAAACCACCGAUUGACGGUGACAAAGGCCUUACGUAAGCGCUUCAACUCCUUCCACCACGACUUGCACAAGAUUUAUGAAUCCUAUGGAAGCCACGCAGAAGCGUUGGCUAAUGGAACUAGUCUGGUGGACCCCAUUGUAUGGGUGAAGUUGUGUGAAAAGUGGGGCAGCGAUGCCUUUAAGAAAAUUUCAGCUCAAAAUCGGGAGAACCGAAAGAAGCAGGCCAUUAAUCACACGUCAGGACGUAAAUCAUUCGUCCGAUUACUUGAGCAAAAGCGCAAUGAGAAUGGGAAUUUGGUCGACUUCUACAAAGAGACGCGUUGGUUGAAGAAAAAGAAUGCAUUUGUCACAGAUGCUACAGAAA
Long non-coding RNA from Juglans regia (Persian walnut), 384 nucleotides. RefSeq lists it as uncharacterized. NCBI's taxonomy places the organism in Eukaryota, Viridiplantae, Streptophyta, Magnoliopsida, Fagales, Juglandaceae. The record is from RefSeq and is a predicted model, not a curated record. The transcript is spliced from 3 exons.